This 2438-nucleotide long non-coding RNA is filed under the name Schizosaccharomyces pombe (fission yeast). The record is from RNAcentral. Lineage: Eukaryota; Fungi; Ascomycota; Schizosaccharomycetes; Schizosaccharomycetales; Schizosaccharomycetaceae.
UUCACUCCACAAUGGAUCACCAUUAGCAUCAGUUCCGUAACGUUUAACCUCUUCAAAGUAGGGGUGCUUGGCUGCCAAGUCUCGAAGCUUGUCCUGAAUUAAUUGAAGUGGCAUAUUGGAAGGAAAUAAAUGCGAAAGUGCAGGAAGGGGAGUAGUUGAAGUUGUUGAGAAAACCAAUUCAUCUAAAACCAAUCCUAAUAAUAAGCUAUCGGGAGCUGAAUUUUCUUUUGUUGAUUCUGAGUAAUCAUGGCUAGAAGGGAGGGAUUCAUUACUGUCAUUAGUGUUCUCAUCAACAGCAGAGAUGCUUUCGUAGUCUUCAGGUUCCUUCUUUUCCACAACUGCUGAACUCAAUUCAGGAGCCAUUGGCUCAACUUCGUUCACUGGGGAAUCAUUUGAAGUUGUAAUAUUAGAAUUCUUUGAGUCAUCAUUAUGGUUUGUAAAAUUAAGUUCAGAGAUAACGUCCGUUAGUCCAGCGGACGAUUCAUCAAUUUGUAUAACGCUAUCCCGUCUUACUGUUAUAGGCUCUUUUGACUCUUCAAUUGGAGUGUAUUCUUCACCUUCACUAAUUUCCUCAUUUUUAUCAAGAUCAUCACUCUCGAUUUUUUCGUUCUCAAAAGAAACCUUAACUUCUCUUAAAACGAUGUUAUUAUCAUCAGUGCCAUUGAGUAAAUCGUCGGUGUUCUUUGGGAGAAAAGAUGGUUUUAAUUGUGUAUUUUUGGAACAAUCAGACUUUUCCACCUGACCAUCUUUUUCUAAGGCAAGAAGCUUUUGUAACAAAUCUUUGGAUGGAGGAGGAUAUACUAAUUCGUUACUACGCAAGUUUAGCUUAGGAAUGGAUUCGGAAUUAGUGUACAAUAUGAGAUGAUUCUGAUCGUUUUGAUAGUCUUGAGAAGGAGGUGAUGAAGGCAUCAAAGGUAAAGCUUCUUGAGGUGAAGGAGACAUAGGUUCACGAUUUUCUUCAUAAUUUUUAGCAUUAAGAUUUCCUUCCCAUUCAUCUUCAGAAUCACUUGGCCAACCAAGAAGAACUCGGUAACCGAAUACAUCCAGUACAGGACAAGCAUCCGAAUUCGGUCUUACCAGGACAAUCCGAUCAUUUUUCUUCAUGUGGAAUACUGACUUCCUCAUUUUAUCAGACACAAUCAUCCCAUUCCAACCCACGCACUCAAUAAUCAUGCGGUCUUGUGUACAAGUUACAAUAGCAUGUACACGAGAAAUUGCUUUAUCAACCGUGGAUAGGACAUGGUCACAUUGUUGACUAGAACGGCCAAUUUUAUUAACGCGAUGUGAACGCAUCCGUACAAAAGACAUUGGAGAAAGUGGCUCUCUUCUCACUGCAGAAGCAGGCGAAGAGGGGGCAUAGAAUGUAUUACUAGAUGGCUCAGGCGUGAGGACGAAUUGGCCUAAAUUAAUAUUAGUAAAAGUUAGAUUCAAGUCAAUUGGUAAAGAGGCAUGAUUCUCUUUUGGUUUACACAGUUUUCUUAACUAAUCACCGUGGAAUCAACCUUACCCAAUUGAGGCUUCUCAAAAGUCAUUGAUUGAUUUGGAUGUUUUGAGAGCCAACUUUUCUUGUGAGAAGCCAUAGGCGAUGAAGAGGGAAUUGGAGAAGGCAGUAGCACAUUUUGGCUAGAAAUGUUCAUACUGGCCAAAGGAGUAUUCAAACAAUUAAGGUUGAAUUGUAACGCGAAGUAUUGUCGUGAUUUAAAGAAGGAAUGAAUUUCAAAAUAACAUAAAUCGAUUAUUGUAACAAAACAAGGCAAGAUUACAAAAGAUCCGUGAUCAAGGUGCCUUGUUUCAAAAAGUGUGAACUAGAAAAACAAAGAGUGUAUAUUAAUAAAGGAAAAAAUAGAAGCACGAAUUAGUAAUUUUUAGGUUAAUGCCUGGGUAUAAACACGCUAUGAUGUUCGAGCUUUACACCAAAAACAAAGGUUAAACAAAGCUAUGUUUCAUGCAAGACGAGAAGAAACGAGAGUAACCCAGUGCACAAAGAUUUUUUUCAAAUUAAAUGAGCGUAUUCUUCUCUAAACCCUUUCUGUGUUGAAAGAUUGGUUAUAUAAUUUACAUUUUGCCUGAGAUAUGUGUUUAUAUAUGAUGGAUGGUCGCGCGUCGUGCCGAGCCGCGUCGCGACGCGUUUUAUUGAUUUUGAAGCGCGAUGUCGAAAAACGCGAUUUCAAAGGGAGCUUGUUCCUUGAGGCUAAAGUUCAAGGCACAAUAAAGGUGCAUGCAUAUCUGCGUAUACUGUUUGGUAGUAACAAAAUUUUAAACACAAAGAAUAAUCCAGCAACAGUUAUCUGUUGUAAGAAACAAAGAAUGAUGCUUCACCGAUGAUAGGGAAGCCAGUGUACGUUGACUUAUAUUAGCGUAAGAGAUUCAUUAGAAGGCUGGGAUCACAUUUGACCAAAUGAGGUAGGGAAAUAACAUGUUUAGGUUCCUGGCGAUAG